CCCUUAGAUGUCCUGGGCCGCACGCGCGCUACACUGAACGGAUCAGCGCGUUUUCCCUUCCCGAGAGGGACGGGUAACCUGCUGAACCCCGUUCGUGGUAGGGAUCGGGGCUUGCAAUUAUUCCCCAUGAACGAGGAAUUCCCAGUAAGCGCGAGUCAUCAUCUCGCGUUGAUUACGUCCCUGCCCUUUGUACACACCGCCCGUCGCUACUACCGAUUGAAUGGUUUAGUGAGAUCCUCGGAUUGGCCAUCUCGGCGUGACUUCGGUUGUGCACGUGGUGGCCGAGAAGACGAUCAAACUUGAUCAUUUAGAGGAAGUAAAAGUCGUAACA
Molecule: ribosomal RNA, 331 nt
Filed under: uncultured eukaryote
Lineage: Eukaryota
Description: partial 18S ribosomal RNA
Rfam family: Eukaryotic small subunit ribosomal RNA
Source: RNAcentral